This 877-nucleotide small RNA is filed under the name Histoplasma capsulatum. Its description in RNAcentral is "hypothetical RNA". The record is from RNAcentral. Lineage: Eukaryota; Fungi; Ascomycota; Eurotiomycetes; Onygenales; Ajellomycetaceae. RNAcentral also lists the same sequence under 1 other name.
GUCUAGGUGGUUACGCCGUAGAGUGAAAUCUUUUUUUUCCUCCUUUUUUCUUUUUUCUUUUUUGGCAAUGAAUGCAUUGCAAUUCUCACCAGUUCUACACCUUUUUUGGACCGGGGAUCCUGUCUGCUCCUCACCUCAGGCUUCGGGUUGGUGAGACAGGUUGCACCCUCCACUGACACUGUCUCCGAAAGUGUUGUCAUUGAUGGCCUUGGUGAGAAUGUUAGGGAAGGCGUGGAUGGGUGGGAUCAUGAGCCCUCUAAUAUAUCCCUGUAGGUCAAGUGCAUGGAGGAGAUAUUGAGACAGACAGACAAAAGACAAACUCACAAUCUUGGAAGAAAGCCUGACUACGUCGAGGUCUUAACUGCUAAACUAACUACAUAAAAAGCGGCCCAUAAAAGCUUUUUGGUCGAUCUCUAUACACUCAGCAGCCUCGGGCGAUUCUGUUGAUCGAGUCUUCCGCGGGUCUGUGAACCAAACUCGGCUUCGCUGCCAUGCUUUGGCAAAUGAGGAUGAUGAAGGAAGGAAGGGUGAGGGGUGUCUCUGUCUGGAGAAAGAAAGUUAUGACUUUGGAUUGCGCCGGGCGACGCAAGGUGAUAGAUAAAUGGCCAGCACUCCCACAAAGGGGCCAGAGCUAAUCAAGAAAUAACUUGCAUGGCACUCAAUGGCGUAGGAGUGGUUACACCCAAGACGAAAGAUUUGAUUUUCCCAGGAAAUUACCCCUACAUAUUAGAUAUGCGGGUUGUCAAAGGUCCUGAGAAUUUACAAUUCGAUGGAAGGGUAGGAGGUUGAUUGACUUCAGAUACCCUUGCAGCGGAUAUAGUUAUUAAUAGUUGCUGCUAGUAAUAUAUUUUGAUCAGUUAACUAGUUAUUCUAGACG